Non-coding RNA from Podarcis lilfordi (Lilford's wall lizard), 78 nucleotides. Lineage: Eukaryota; Metazoa; Chordata; Lepidosauria; Squamata; Lacertidae. The record is from the annotation of a GenBank genome assembly.
AUUACAGAUAUAGUUUGAAAUAUCUGUAUAUAUGAAUGUGUAUAUAUAUACAGAUAUUUCAAACUAUAUCUGUAAUGU